UACGUAGGGGGCAAGCGUUGUCCGGAAUUAUUGGGCGUAAAGAGCGUGUAGGCGGUCCGGUAAGUCAGCUGUGAAAGUCAAGGGCUCAACCCUUGAAAGCCGGUUGAUACUGUCGGGCUAGAGUCCGGAAGAGGCGAGUGGAAUUCCCGGUGUAGCGGUGAAAUGCGCAGAUAUCGGGAGGAACAUCUGUGGCGAAGGCGACACCCUGGACCAGCACUGACACUGAGGCACGAAAGCGUGGGGAGCAAACAGG
Molecule: ribosomal RNA, 253 nt
Filed under: uncultured bacterium
Lineage: Bacteria
Description: partial 16S ribosomal RNA
Rfam family: Bacterial small subunit ribosomal RNA
Source: RNAcentral